Molecule: long non-coding RNA, 5928 nt
Filed under: Capsicum annuum
Lineage: Eukaryota; Viridiplantae; Streptophyta; Magnoliopsida; Solanales; Solanaceae
Description: long non-coding RNA (CANN_LNC018070)
Source: RNAcentral
GACACCACAUUCACUCACAAUAGAAUAUACAUACACACUGCAAAUUCACACACUAGACAUAUACACACAACAACACCCAUCUCAAAGCCUCCAUUUUUUCUCACAUACGCACCAUCAGAAAGGAGAGAGGAACCUAUACACAGCAACGCACUCACACACAUAUACAUAUACGAACAUCCACAGCAACACAUAAAAAGGAGGGCUUGAUUUUCUCCAUUGAUCCCUCAUUCACCUUCUACACAUCCUCACUACACAGAAAUAUACACAACGCAGACUGGAGAUGGAGGGAAUCACACAUCAUCACUCUUAGGAACACAAUCACAGACCUCACCUAUUCCAUACACACACAAUCACUAAAAUUAACUCACACACGUACAAACACAGUUGAACAACGGAGAAUCGGUAGCAAAGGAAGAGAAAAUGGCGGAGGGGAGAUAGAGAUCAGAAAUAGAAAAGAUCUCUCUCUCUCGAGAAAGAAAAUAGAGAGAAAACUGGUUUUAGCUUGGUUUUCGGUGAAGCCUCGUCGGAAUACACCGUCCCAUCACUGCCAAACAGCCAAAAACCCAAAACCAGCGAGAACACCCCAAAUAUCUGAUAAGAAAUCGACCAAUCUCACGUUCUUUGCUACUAUUUGGGUCGCUGGAGCUGCAAACAAGAGCCCACUUAGAUUUCAACAAACCCAUUUAAGUUCAAGCCAAAAUCGGCAGUUUAGGCUCGUAUUGUGGUUGUUUUAGGCUGGUCUGUUGGGAUCGAGGUUCGAAUCGAGAGUUUUCAAAUCCGUCUUUGUCUUUCGAUCACAUAAUUUGGCACAAUAAAAGCUUCAAUCGAGGUUCAAAUCUAUUGUUCUCUUUUUAUUUCAUCUUUUAUUAUAUUUAGUGUGUUACAUUAAAUAUCAUGUGUUGUUUGAUCUUGGUUGGUGAUGAAUUGCUACUUGUUUGAUUUGGAUGAUUGUUACUUGUUUGAUUUGGAUGAUUCUCUUGGAUUAUGAUUUAUAUGAUGAAAUGAUAUUUUGUUUGAGAAUUAAGAUUGGUUUUUUGGGGCGAGAUUAAAAAUUGAAAGAAGUGAAUAUUGAUUUUAUUUUGAUUCAUUGAUGAUUGUUUAAUUCGAAAUAUGUAUUGAUGUUGUUAAAUGCAAUUGCGUCACAAUGGGUUGAAAUUGGAAGGCAAAUGGUAGGACGGGUAGGAAAAUUUAGGCAUUGUGAAUUGAUGGAAUGUUUGAAAUGUGUGUUAAAAUGGUUUUGUUUUAUCGCAUUUGAUUCAAUUGUACUCAUUUGCUCGGGGAAUGCCCCGAGAUAUUUAUAUUGUUUUAUCCAGGAAAUGCCUCGAGAAAGUUGUACUCAAAGAUGGUUCGUGAUCAAGGCCCGAGGUAUUGGGUAGAGCAUAGGCUAGGAUUAGUUUAGAAUAGGAUUUAUAUUUAAGCAUUUUUCUAUUUUCUAGACUUUAUAAUUCGGUCAUAGACACUAUUUUGGAUUUUUGAUUAUUUGGUUGUUUUGUUUGCUUGUUAUAUGUUUUGUUGGUUUAUACACUUCGUAGCAUUAUACUAGCUGAUAUACUCCAUGAAGAGACCAUGGUCGAACCACGGGAUCGAGGGGUGCAUAACACCUUCCCCUCGAUCAACCAAAAUCCUCAGCUGGAAUCUCUGUUCGCGAAUCAGUAUCUAGAGUCAAAUCAUUUUGAAAAAAGAUUUUUCAAAGAUGACUUGGCACACCAGAUUUAUGUCAAGUGGCGACUCUUAGUUUAAAUAUAAGAAGUCCUUUUCAAAACUAAUUUUCAUUUCUUGUCAUUUAAUAAUAAAAUCCUUUCAAACUUAUAAUCAUUCCUUUUGGUAAAAAGGGGUGUGACAGCUCUGGGCACUAGCUGGGGAGACUUUUUUUGAAUUCAAGCUUAUUUUUGGGGUAAUAUAGUCAUUUGAUGGACUGAUUGUUGCAUCUUUGAGGGUAAUAUAGUCAUUUGAUGGACUGAUUGUUGCAUCAUGCUUCUCUGGCUCCUUAGUAUAAGCCUAAUAUAUUCACAACACCAUAUGUCAUCUCUGAUUUUGCUGCUCAACCCUCUACUGAGGCUUCCAUAUUGUCUAUCCGCCCAGGGGUUGUGGUUUCCCAUGCCGCUAAUGAACCCAUGUUAAAUACUCUUGAUGAUCAUUUCUAUGCUCCUGAGCCUACUUUUAAGUUAACUGGAGCACCAAAAUUUCUUAACAAGAAGCCUAUCGUGCCAGAAGAGCCAGAGAAAACGGUUGGAAAAAGAAAAAGUAUAGAAAAUGCUAUGAAAAGUUCCCUAGGACUAGCGGAUAAAGAAGAUAUUUCAUAUAAAGACUGGGACAUAUUUUCAAGUGUCAACCUUUCUCAAAGCUUUGAGAUAUCGAAAUUUGGGAAACAUGAUGGACAUGAGGAUUUUGUGAAACAUUUGGGACGAUACUGAAGUCAAUUAUAGAAAACUAAAGGGAAGAAGAAGGAAAACAUACCUAUUGUCGGGCCAGUGACAAAGCAUAGCUCGAGAGGUCCAACUUACCAAUACUGUCAGCCUCAAUCCCGAGCUUACAUAUUAGAUCCACAUACUCAUCUAAAUAAGGUUUCUCGUUCCAAAGUCUAAGAUAUUUCAUUCUACUUCCUCAAUAUCCUUUGAACAAUGCACAAUUGUAUACUCGUUCGUCAUCUUAUCCACAAUGGAAAGCAAUGAUCUCUCAACAUUGUCCUUGGCCCCCACAUAUUUACCAAGGUGCCUCUAAAUCCAAGUUUAAACCAAGGCCAGAGUUUGCAAAGAGGAGGAAAGAAAAGGAUAAUUUCACUCCUAUUAGGGAAUCCUAUGCCAGUUUAUUCCAUAGAUUGGUACAAUGGGGCAUGAUCACAUCUCUUCUUGGGUAUACUCCUGACCUGCAUUCAAGAAGUUUUGAUCUUAAUGUACAAUUUUCAUAUCAUUCUGAUGUUCAGGGUCACAGUAUUGAAGAUUAUGGUGCUUUGAAAAGGGAAAUAGAAAAGAUAAUUCAAGAUAAAUCGAUUGGGGUGCAGAACAUUGACAGUGGUGGAAAGGUCUAGUCAUGAUGAUGUGCAACUCAGUGGCUAAGAUGUCAAGCUCAGUAAUUAGAAAGUCACUCCUCUCCUUACCAGGAAGUAUUAUUGGUAGUUUGUUUUGUUUUCCUUUUUGUUUUCUGAAUUAUUUCAGGAUUGUAAUUCGGAACUUAUCUUGUUUUGUUUCUUUGUCGUUUAUGUUUAAACACUUCUAUCUUCCCUUUCAACAAAAUGUAGUGUCCCUUUUUGCUUUUGUCUUAUCUUAAGUUGUUUGUUUUAUUUCUUUACACAGUACAUUUUAUGUAGAUUCUAGUGACAUGAGAUGCUGGUGAAAUUUUCAGUUAAAUCUUAAAAUCCAAUUUAAGCAUGAACUUUUAAUCAAAGACCAAAGCUAGAAAAAAUAUUUAAUAAAAUCGGUAGAGUACCGAGACAUUUGGUGACAAGUUAAAGCCUUCUUUGAAAAUUGAGGGAAUUAUUUUGAGAAUCACAAGAAUAACUUGGUCAUCAAUUGAAAGACAUGUCUCAAUUAGGUCAAAUAGUGGAUGUGUGAUCCGAUAUCAAAAGGGACAGAAAGAAAAUCAACUCCAUGAAAGAAUGAGUCAUUUGAUGUAAGAGAUGUAUAGCAAACGUGGAGUUGUAUGCUAGGCAAGUACAGAAAAAGUACUGACCUACAGGGUCAGUUAAAGUUAGUGCUCUAAAAAAUGUCAUACAUGAUCUUCAUCUCCCACUUUCAUAUUACAUGUUAUGUACUUGCAUUUUUAAGUAUUGAUAUGAUGAAGACAUUUCAUUCUACAAUUCAAACAUCGUUUCAUCCUUUAUUUACCCCAUUUGAGAUUUAGUGUUAUUUCUUUUCAUACCCCUCUUUCGAAAUCAAAAUAGAGUCAUAAAAAAUCCAAAAAAGUGUUGAGUAAGAGAAUAGAGUCAAAAAAGUUCAAAAAAAAAGUGUCCAAAAAGAAAGAAAAGAGAAGAUUGUUAAGAAAAAUAGAGUUAGAAAAAAAAUCGCAAAGAUAAAAGAGUCAAUAAAAGAAAAAAAGAAAAAAAAUAAGAAUCAAGCAAAAUAACAAAUUAUCGAAACUAUGUGUGACCUGAUUCUCUUCUUUCGGGGUUAAGAUACAUAGUAGGCUGCCCUACAUUGGGCUCGAUCUAACUAAAUAAAUUAUUUAGGAGUACUUAGUCAAAAGAACUGGGCCAUGAGUUAAUCCUCAUUGUUUGAGUCGAUUUCAAAAGUUGUAAGUCCUACCCCACUUUAAGUGUCAUUUUAGCCUCAUGUAUUUCUUUCUUUCUAACCUUAUCCAAAAUCCAAGUUACAAUCAAAGAAAGAUCUUCAGAUCAAUCUUUGAGAAUGUCAAGGCGAAGAAUGCAAUGGAUAUGAUAAUGCAUUUUGGGUACUACUUGUCUUUCCCAGCAUAAGGAAUCAGAAGAGAAAUAAAAAUGAGUGAGUCUUAUUGGUGAAAACCCUCACGGGCACCGUAAGACAAUGGUAAGUUGAGAGAGAUAAAAAUGAGAGAGUCUUAUCAGUGAAAACCCUCACGACACUGUAAGAAGAAUGUGAGUAGAGAGAAAUGAAAAUAAGAGAGUCUCAUUGGUGAAAAAUCUUCACAGAUUCCAUAAGGCAGUGGUGAGGUGAGAAAAAGAAAAUGAGAGAGGCUUGUUAGCAAAAACCCUUCAAGGAGCCACUAGAUGAAUGAGGUCUCCAAAUGCAAUUGGUCUAAGAAAGUAACUCAGUUUCAGGUCCAUUAACUCAAGAACAAUUGGUAGAAAGUUUGGACGGAAAGAUCAGACAGCUUAAUCCAAAAUGCAUGACAUAAUCAUUAGAGUCGACUAUCAUUUUUAGAUAAAUUUUUUAUUUCUUUAUUUCAAAUGGGGACAUUCAAUGUCUUUUCUUUCUUCUCUUUAUCUUUAUUUUAUUUUAUUGAGUCAGUUAUUCAAAUAAAAAUCAUUGUCAUUUUUCUCUUGUCUUUGAGUCAAGUCCAUAUCAAAACAAGUGAGAAAAGAUUUCAAGACUAGCUACCAGAUUCUUCAAUUGCACAAAGCAAGACAAAUGCCAACACAUGAAAAAGACAUGAUUGUGAGCCCAAAUAAGGCAUGCAGAAAGUUUUGUCAACAGAAAAGUUUGGGAACUCAUGGAAAUACCAAGGUUCAAAGGGUUUAUCUGAGAAACAUGGAAAAACAGAGAUACUGUGUUUAUUUUAGAGUCACUCUUAAUAUUAUUAGUAUGGGUCAGUGGUGAAACAAGGCAAUGACAAGUGUUAAUGAUUGGAAACAAGAUUUAGAUGUGACAAGUGCAAGCAAAAUCGCCUUAAAAGCCAAAGCCUCAAGCCAACCACCCUGUUUUAAACUCACAAGUUUUGUUUGUAUGAAACAGGAGCAGUUGCUACCGUCUAAUCAAAGGUUUCAAAGCACAAAUAUCCCAAAGUACAAUUCCUCAUUUCUGCAAAUGCAAGAGCAGUAUUGUUGUAUAGGUUUGAUAAUCACAAUUAUGGUAAAACUCAUUAUCUUGUACCCCUAAGAGACACGCUCUCUAAUUUAGGUCUUUCAUGUCUUAUGGAUAGUAGGUGAACUUCCUAAUUUGAGCCUUUAAUCCUAAAAGAUGCACUUUUAGUAAGAACCAUUCACUUUCACUCUUAAGAGAGGGACUUGCUGGGCUCAAUCAUUCAAUUUUACUCUCGAAAGGGUGUGUUUGUUAAUCGAAAUCAUGAUUCAUCUUUUCAUUAUGUGUUGUUACAAGUAGUUGUGAAUGGUUUUAAGACCCACAAAACUUUUGAUGAUAAACUAGGGAAAAAAGAAAAUCUAAUUCCUGUUAUUAGGAACUUCACUUUAGGACCCUCCUAGCAAAAUGAGACUUUACUUUUCUAGAAAAUGAAAUCUUUCUUUAUCAUAAUUUUUAUGUGGGAUAAUUUUUGUUCUAGUUUUGAUUUUGAUUUCAG